Molecule: ribosomal RNA, 478 nt
Filed under: uncultured bacterium
Lineage: Bacteria
Description: partial 16S ribosomal RNA
Rfam family: Bacterial small subunit ribosomal RNA
Source: RNAcentral
GACGAACGCUGGCGGCGUGCUUAACACAUGCAAGUCGAACGGAAAGGCCCUACGGGGUACUCGAGUGGCGAACGGGUGAGUAACACGUGGGUGAUCUGCCCUGCACUUUGGGAUAAGCCUGGGAAACUGGGUCUAAUACCGAAUAGGACCGCAUGCUUCAUGGUGUGUGGUGGAAAGCUUUUGCGGUGUGGGAUGGGCCCGCGGCCUAUCAGCUUGUUGGUGGGGUAAUGGCCUACCCAGGCGACGACGGGUAGCCGGCCUGAGAGGGUGACCGGCCACACUGGGACUUAGAUACUGCCCAGACUCCUACGGGAGGCAGCAGUGCGGAAGAUUGCACAAUGGGCGCAAGCCUGAUGCAGCGACGCCGCGUGAGGGAUGACGGCCUUCGGGUUGUAAACCUCUUUCAGCAGGGACGAAGCGCAAGUGACGGUACCUGCAGAAGAAGGACCGGCCAACUACGUGCCAGCCGCCGCGGUAA